This 484-nucleotide ribosomal RNA is filed under the name uncultured bacterium. RNAcentral describes it as "partial 16S ribosomal RNA". It matches the Rfam family "Bacterial small subunit ribosomal RNA", at positions 30 to 507 of the family's 1533-position model. The record is from RNAcentral.
AUUGAACGCUGGCGGCAGGCCUAACACAUGCAAGUCGAGCGGAUGAAGGGAGCUUGCUCCUGGAUUCAGCGGCGGACGGGUGAGUAAUGCCUAGGAAUCUGCCUGGUAGUGGGGGAUAACGUCCGGAAACGGGCGCUAAUACCGCAUACGUCCUGAGGGAGAAAGUGGGGGAUCUUCGGACCUCACGCUAUCAGAUGAGCCUAGGUCGGAUUAGCUAGUUGGUGGGGUAAAGGCCUACCAAGGCGACGAUCCGUAACUGGUCUGAGAGGAUGAUCAGUCACGCUGUGACUUAAACACGGUCCAGACACCAACGGGAGGCAGCAGUGGGGAAUAUUGGACAAUGGGCGAAAGCCUGAUCCAGCCAUGCCGCGUGUGUGAAGAAGGUCUUCUGACUGUAAAGCACUUUAAGUUGGGAGGAAGGUCAGUAAGUUAAUACCUUGCUGUUUUGACGUUACCAACAGAAUAAGCACCGGCUAACUUCGUG